GGGUUCGAGCCCCGCCGGUCGAGCCCUUGAUGGAGGGAGAUCUUCUCUUCUGGUUAGCGGACCGGGGCUCCCCGGCGAGAGCGCGUGCUGAGGGACCAUGAGGUCGUCUGUUCGAUCCCGUCUGGCUCCACCAGAUGGUUUGAUCACCGCGAUCUUGACCGUCGUCCGCGAAACAUCACUUGACAUCCUGCUAGUCUGGAUAGACAGCAGUUUGCGUGUUUUCUGACAUCGUAAAGAGGAGAUCGAUCCGAGUUGGGUCGUGCAGCAUAUCGUUGCGCGAGCCUUCAUUAUCUCCGGAUCAUUUCGGCGCUCGCUUCCAGCCGUGAGGUUGGAUGCGGGUUGUAAAUGAUCCUUUUAGCGAAGCUUGACCGCCUCGCUAUCGGAACGAUCUUACGAAGCAAGCUGGUCUUUCUAGUCAAUGUCCGGCUGCGGAUAGCGUUCAUCGAGGGCGCGUGCCGCAAGGCAAUUCUGCAGACAACAUUCUGCCGAGUGUGUGGACAUUGAUAAUGAGAGCAAUCAAGUGCCUUAAGGGUGUUCGGUGGAUGCCUUGGCGCUGAGAGGCGAUGAAGGACGUGCUACGCUGCGAUAAGCCGUGGGGAGCUGCGAAGAAGCUUUGAUCCGCGGAUUUCCGAAUGGGGAAAACCCGGA
This 648-nucleotide unclassified non-coding RNA is filed under the name uncultured Bradyrhizobium sp. RNAcentral describes it as "partial 16S-23S ribosomal RNA intergenic spacer". The stretch from base 515 to 648 matches the Rfam family "Bacterial large subunit ribosomal RNA", at positions 1 to 132 of the family's 2925-position model. Lineage: Bacteria; Pseudomonadati; Pseudomonadota; Alphaproteobacteria; Hyphomicrobiales; Nitrobacteraceae. The record is from RNAcentral.